RNAcentral lists this ribosomal RNA (253 nucleotides) under uncultured bacterium. RNAcentral's name for it is "partial 16S ribosomal RNA". It matches the Rfam family "Archaeal small subunit ribosomal RNA", at positions 474 to 727 of the family's 1478-position model. The record is from RNAcentral.
UACCAGCACCCCGAGUGUUCGGGACGAUUAUUGGGCCUAAAGCAUCCGUAGCCGGUCAUGCAAGUCUGCCGUUAAAUCCAGCCGCUCAACGGUUGGGCUGCGGAGGAUACUACGUGGCUAGGAGGCGGGAGAGGCAAGCGGUACUCAGUGGGUAGGGGUAAAAUCCUUUGAUCCAUUGAAGACCACCAGUGGCGAAGGCGGCUUGCCAGAACGAGCUCGACGGUGAGGGAUGAAAGCUGGGGGAGCAAACCGG